GACGAACGCUGGCGGCGUGCUUAACACAUGCAAGUCGAACGGAAAGGCCCUGCUUUUGUGGGGUGCUCGAGUGGCGAACGGGUGAGUAACACGUGAGUAACCUGCCCUUGACUUUGGGAUAACUUCAGGAAACUGGGGCUAAUACCGGAUAGGAGCUCCUGCUGCAUGGUGGGGGUUGGAAAGUUUCGGCGGUUGGGGAUGGACUCGCGGCUUAUCAGCUUGUUGGUGGGGUAGUGGCUUACCAAGGCUUUGACGGGUAGCCGGCCUGAGAGGGUGACCGGCCACAUUGGGACUGAGAUACGGACCAGAGUCCUACGGGAGGCAGAAGUGGGGAAUAUUGCACAAUGGGCGGAAGCCUGAUGCAGCAACGCCGCGUGCGGGAUGACGGCCUUCGGGUUGUAAACCGCUUUCGCCUGUGACGAAGCGUGAGUGACGGUAAUGGGUAAAGAAGCACCGGCUAACUACGUG
Molecule: ribosomal RNA, 468 nt
Filed under: uncultured bacterium
Lineage: Bacteria
Description: partial 16S ribosomal RNA
Rfam family: Bacterial small subunit ribosomal RNA
Source: RNAcentral